GACGAACGCUGGCGGCGUGCUUAACACAUGCAAGUCGAACGGAAAGGCCCUGCUUUUGUGUGGUGCUCUAGUGGCUAACGGGUGAGUAACACGUGAGUAACCUGCCCUUUACUUUGGGAUAACUUCUGGUAACUGCGGCUACUACUGGAUCGUAGCUUCUCCUGCAUGGUGGGGGUUGGAAUGUUUCGGCGGUUCGGGAUGUACUCGCGGCGUAUCAGCUUGUUGGUGGGGUAGUGGCUUACCAAGGCUUGGACGUGUAGCCGGCCUGAGAGGGUGAGCGGCGACAUAGAGACUGAGGUAAGGCAGAAACGCCUAAGGGAGGCAGAAGUGGGGAAGAUUGAAGAAUGGGCGGAGGCCUGAUGAAGAAACGCCGCGGGCUGGAUAACGGCCUUAGGGGUGUAAACCGGUGUAGCGUGUGAAGAAGCGUGAGUGAAGGUAAUGGGUAGAGAAGCACCGGCUAAAUACGUG
RNAcentral lists this ribosomal RNA (468 nucleotides) under uncultured bacterium. Its description in RNAcentral is "partial 16S ribosomal RNA". It matches the Rfam family "Bacterial small subunit ribosomal RNA", at positions 28 to 507 of the family's 1533-position model. The record is from RNAcentral.